UUGGCUGAUGGCAAAACAAAACGCAUCAACUGUGAUUGGGUUGGCUGAUGGCAGAACAAAACGCAUCAGCUGCGACUGGGUUGGUUGAUGGCAGAACAAAACAUAUCAGUUGGUGCUGGAAACAAAAACGGGAAAACGAAGAAGAACACAAAAGCGACGACGACAACAAGGAGGACAUCAUCAAAUGUUUGGAUUUUUAGUCUUAUUUUUUAUGUUACGUUCAUUAAUGUUUGCUCUUACAAAUACAAAAUCUAUAAGUUUUUUUUUUAAAUAAAAGAGUGAUUGUAUAAUGAAGAUAAAGAGCAACAAAUUUAUGCCUAUUUGUUUAGCCUAUUUGUUUUUAUCUGAUUAUGUUCAUCUGUUGGAUAUAACUGAUUUGUUGGGUUAAAGAGUAUUUUUUAUUUGCAGAUUUGGUUAAUUUUUUAUAUGAUUCAACUACAGUUGUUUUUUAGUUUUUUUAGUUUUUUUUUUUUUCAAACUUAGAAUUUUGUCUAUUUGCUUUGUAUCAUGUGAAUAAUGGCUAAGGGCAAAGGAAAUUGCUUUUUCAUUAAUUAAUUUAUUACAUACCAUUUUUGCCAUAUUUGGUGCAGCAUCAGAAAACAAAAGCAAUGCAGGCUAGCAGAAGUUGGCACCAUAAGGAGAAAGUUGACUUGUUUAAGAUUAUAAUUUGAUUUGGUUUAAUGUUUAAAAUUGUAAUUUGAUUUAGCUUAAUGUAAUUUGAUGAGACAAAAUAAG
Molecule: long non-coding RNA, 735 nt
Filed under: Cicer arietinum (chickpea)
Lineage: Eukaryota; Viridiplantae; Streptophyta; Magnoliopsida; Fabales; Fabaceae
Description: long non-coding RNA (CARI_LNC002279)
Source: RNAcentral